GGAGUUAGCCGGUGCUUCUUCUGUGAGUGAUGUCCUUCCUGCCGGUUAUUGACCCGCAGGCCUUCUUCCUCACUGAAAGUGCUUUACAACCCGAAGGCCUUCUUCACACACGCGGCAUGGCUGGAUCAGGGUUGCCCCCAUUGUCCAAUAUUCCCCACUGCUGCCUCCCGUAGGAGUCUGGGCCGUGUCUCAGUCCCAGUGUGGCUGAUCAUCCUCUCAGACCAGCUACGGAUCGUCGCCUUGGUGAGCCGUUACCUCACCAACCAGCUAAUCCGACAUAGGCUCAUCCGAUAGCGCGAGGCCCGAAGGUCCCCCGCUUUCCCCCGUAGGGCGUAUGCGGUAUUAGCCUGGGUUUCCCCAGGUUAUCCCCCACUACCGGGCAGAUUCCUAUGCAUUACUCACCCGUCCGCCGCUCGCCACCAGGGAGCAAGCUCCCCGUGCUGCCGCUCGACUUGCAUGUGUUAGGCCUGCCGCCAGCGUUCAAUCCGAGCCAUGAUCAAACUCUGA
This 507-nucleotide ribosomal RNA is filed under the name uncultured bacterium. RNAcentral describes it as "partial 16S ribosomal RNA". The record is from RNAcentral.